This 464-nucleotide ribosomal RNA is filed under the name uncultured bacterium. RNAcentral describes it as "partial 16S ribosomal RNA". It matches the Rfam family "Bacterial small subunit ribosomal RNA", at positions 28 to 506 of the family's 1533-position model. The record is from RNAcentral.
GACGAACGCUGGCGGCGUGCUUAACACAUGCAGGUCGAACGGAAAGGCCCUGCUUGCAGGGUACUCGAGUGGCGAACGGGUGAGUAACACGUGGGUGAUCUGCCCUGCACUUCGGGAUAAGCUUGGGAAACUGGGUCUAAUACCGGAUAGGAGCCAUCUUUAGUGUGGUGGUUGGAAAGUUUUUUCGGUGUAGGAUGAGCUCGCGGCCUAUCAGCUUGUUGGUGGGGUAAUGGCCUACCAAGGCGGCGACGGGUAGCCGGCCUGAGAGGGUGUACGGCCACAUUGGGACUGAGAUACGGCCCAGACUCCUACGGGAGGCAGCAGUGGGGAAUAUUGCACAAUGGGCGCAAGCCUGAUGCAGCGACGCCGCGUGGGGGAUGAAGGCCUUCGGGUUGUAAACUCCUUUCGCUAGGGACGAAGCUUUUUGUGACGGUACCUAGAUAAGAAGCACCGGCUAACUACGU